UACGUAGGUCCCGAGCGUUGUCCGGAUUUAUUGGGCGUAAAGCGAGCGCAGGUGGUUUAUUAAGUCUGGUGUAAAAGGCAGUGGCUCAACCAUUGUAUGCAUUGGAAACUGGUAGACUUGAGUGCAGGAGAGGAGAGUGGAAUUCCAUGUGUAGCGGUGGAAUGCGUAGAUAUAUGGAGGAACACCGGUGGCGAAGGCGGCUUCCUGGUCUGCAACUGACACUGAGGCGCGAAAGCGUGGGGAGCAAACAGG
This 252-nucleotide ribosomal RNA is filed under the name uncultured bacterium. Its description in RNAcentral is "partial 16S ribosomal RNA". It matches the Rfam family "Bacterial small subunit ribosomal RNA", at positions 524 to 776 of the family's 1533-position model. The record is from RNAcentral.